GUCCUGGCCCUAAACGAUGAUGCUUGGUGUGACGGGUAUCGAUCCCUGUCGUGCCGAAGCUAACGCAUUAAGGCAUUCCGCCUGGGGAGUACGGUCGCAAAGGCUGAAAACUCAAAGGAAUUGACGGGGGCCCGCACAAGCGGUGGAGCAUGUGGUUCAAUUCGACGCAACGCGAAGAACCUUACCCAGGCUUGAACUGCGAGUGACCACUCCCGAAAGGGAGCUUCCGCAAGGACACUCGUAGAGGUGCUGCAUGGCUGUCGU
This 264-nucleotide ribosomal RNA is filed under the name uncultured bacterium. RNAcentral's name for it is "partial 16S ribosomal RNA". It matches the Rfam family "Bacterial small subunit ribosomal RNA", at positions 793 to 1055 of the family's 1533-position model. The record is from RNAcentral.